CAAAUGCCUUUUUUUUUCUCUGUUAGCAUGGGUAAUUAUCAAAAUGAUGAUGACAAGGAAAACUAUGGCAGUUACCUGCAAAGUAUAGCAAAUUCUUCUAACAUCAAACAUGUGAAAAUUGCAGAGGAAAACAUUGCAAAUAUAAUGUAGAGAAAUGAACCGUUUGUGAACCAAGACAAUCUCAUAGCAUGAGAGAUUACAAGGAGUAUAAACCAAUAAAAUUUUUAUAUACCACAAAAUCCACAUAUUAUAGUUCGACCAGAAGGCAAAAUGUACCAAAAACAAUACCUCAAUUCUAG
Molecule: unclassified non-coding RNA, 299 nt
Filed under: Hevea brasiliensis (rubber tree)
Lineage: Eukaryota; Viridiplantae; Streptophyta; Magnoliopsida; Malpighiales; Euphorbiaceae
Source: RNAcentral